RNAcentral lists this RNase P RNA (342 nucleotides) under Verrucomicrobia bacterium S94. RNAcentral's name for it is "Bacterial RNase P class A". It matches the Rfam family "Bacterial RNase P class A". From Rfam's summary of the family: Ribonuclease P (RNase P) is a ubiquitous endoribonuclease, found in archaea, bacteria and eukarya as well as chloroplasts and mitochondria. Its best characterised activity is the generation of mature 5'-ends of tRNAs by cleaving the 5'-leader elements of precursor-tRNAs. Cellular RNase Ps are ribonucleoproteins. Lineage: Bacteria; Pseudomonadati; Verrucomicrobiota. The record is from Rfam by way of RNAcentral.
CAGGCAGGGUGUAUCGGUCGCUCCGCAUAUGCGGGGAGGAAAGUCCGGACUCCACAGGGCAGGACGUCCCGGGGUUAACGCGGGAAUCCAUGUGCCAGAUCGCAUGGGAUGGAAAGUGCCGCAGAAAAUAUACCGCCCCGUUCGCGGGGUAAGGGUGAAAUGGUGGGGUAAGAGCCCACCGCGCGGAAGGUAACGACCGUGGCAGGGUAAACCCCGUCCGGAGCAAGAUCAAAUAGGGGACUUAGGAGCGGCCCGCUCUGUUUAAGGUUCCGGGUAGAUCGCAUAGAUAAAUGAUCGACACCUUCGGGUGAACAGAAUCCGGCUUACCGCCCUGCCUGUUUU